RNAcentral lists this unclassified non-coding RNA (474 nucleotides) under Hevea brasiliensis (rubber tree). The record is from RNAcentral. Lineage: Eukaryota; Viridiplantae; Streptophyta; Magnoliopsida; Malpighiales; Euphorbiaceae.
GAUUGAAAUCCUUUAAAAAAAAAAGCUUUCCUAAUAGUAACAGAUUGAUUUAGAUAAGUCGUAUCUUUGUAGAGAGGACAAACCAAGUCUACUUAUCAUGAAGAGAAAGGGUAAGAUGGACAGAGAUAUGAUGCACAGGACAGACCAUAAUGAAACAGCAAGACAUAUGCCUGCAUUGGCCUAUUGUCAUUAUGAAGUUUAGCAUUGAAUUAUAUACAAAGAGCUAGGAAACAGGUUAUUCAUGAAAGCAAAGAGACUACUUGGGUAGAAUUUUCAGGAGUAUAUUUGAGAUGAUAGGAACAAGAUUUUGGACUGGUCAGAAUAUAGAAGUAAAGUUCUUAAUAUUCUCACAAAACCUUGUGUACUAGAUGAGGUGUAUUAACCGUUUCUUCUAUAGUUUCUGCUUUCUGUAUAAUUUGCUCAGUUUCCCAGCAUAGCCAGGCUAUAGUAGGGACCAGCUCUAGUGCAUUUUUU